Molecule: ribosomal RNA, 812 nt
Filed under: Staphylococcus aureus VET0061R
Lineage: Bacteria; Bacillati; Bacillota; Bacilli; Caryophanales; Staphylococcaceae
Description: bacterial SSU rRNA
Rfam family: Bacterial small subunit ribosomal RNA
Source: RNAcentral
AGAGUUUGAUCCUGGCUCAGGAUGAACGCUGGCGGCGUGCCUAAUACAUGCAAGUCGAGCGAACGGACGAGAAGCUUGCUUCUCUGAUGUUAGCGGCGGACGGGUGAGUAACACGUGGAUAACCUACCUAUAAGACUGGGAUAACUUCGGGAAACCGGAGCUAAUACCGGAUAAUAUUUUGAACCGCAUGGUUCAAAAGUGAAAGACGGUCUUGCUGUCACUUAUAGAUGGAUCCGCGCUGCAUUAGCUAGUUGGUAAGGUAACGGCUUACCAAGGCAACGAUGCAUAGCCGACCUGAGAGGGUGAUCGGCCACACUGGAACUGAGACACGGUCCAGACUCCUACGGGAGGCAGCAGUAGGGAAUCUUCCGCAAUGGGCGAAAGCCUGACGGAGCAACGCCGCGUGAGUGAUGAAGGUCUUCGGAUCGUAAAACUCUGUUAUUAGGGAAGAACAUAUGUGUAAGUAACUGUGCACAUCUUGACGGUACCUAAUCAGAAAGCCACGGCUAACUACGUGCCAGCAGCCGCGGUAAUACGUAGGUGGCAAGCGUUAUCCGGAAUUAUUGGGCGUAAAGCGCGCGUAGGCGGUUUUUUAAGUCUGAUGUGAAAGCCCACGGCUCAACCGUGGAGGGUCAUUGGAAACUGGAAAACUUGAGUGCAGAAGAGGAAAGUGGAAUUCCAUGUGUAGCGGUGAAAUGCGCAGAGAUAUGGAGGAACACCAGUGGCGAAGGCGACUUUCUGGUCUGUAACUGACGCUGAUGUGCGAAAGCGUGGGGAUCAAACAGGAUUAGAUACCCUGGUAGUCCACGCCG